GGGAAAACUCGGCUUUUUGGUUUCGGCAGGAAAACUCGGUUUUUCGGUUUUGACGGAAAAACUCGUUUUUAUUUUGACGGGAAAACUCGGUUUUUCGGUUUUGGCGGGAAAACUCGAUUUUCGGUUUUGGGGGGGGGGGAACUCGGUCUUUCGGUUUCGGCGGGAAAAAUCGUUUUGUCGGGAAAUUUGAGUUUUACGGUAUUGGCGGGAAAACACAUUUUGCGGUUUUGGCGGGAAAACUCGAUUUUGCGGUUUUCAGUCGGAAAACUCGAUUUUGCGAGUUUAGCAGAAAACUCUAUUAUACGGUUUUUACGGGAAUAUUCAGUAUUGCGGUUUUGGACCAGUUCAAAAUAUAACACAAAUCGAUAAAAUAAUAACUUUUUAGAAAAUUCUAUGUAUAUAUUUUUUUCCCUGUAAAAUUAUAAAUUAAUAAUAUUUAAAUAUAUAUAAUUCAUAAAAGCACAAACAAACAUUGUAUUAUUAGUAUUAUUUCCACAAUGGAAUUCAUGUCUAUUUUUUCUUAAUCUUAAAUAUAUUUUGAUAAUAUUUAGUAAUGUUCUCAAAAUCGCUAGGCGGUAACUAUGCGUUUUAUAGAGGACUAGCGACUAGGCGGAUUAUUCGGGGCCUAAGCGAGGCCUAGGCGUUAGCAAAUUAUUGAUUUAUUUUAUAUAUUUUAUACAUUUGUAUAACAUAUUUUAGUUUUUAAGUUUAAUUAUAAAAUUAUUGUGAUGAAUUAUCAAAAUUAGAUAUACAAAACAGAAGAAAGUAGACAAAUUUGUAGAUUUGUAAUAAUAUUAUUGCUUUAUUUAACAUAUAUAGACAAUUUUAGAUCGAUUUUAACCAAUUUUAACCGAUUUAGAACAGUUUAAACCAAUUUGAAUCAUAUAAAUCAGUAUAAAUCGGAUUUUAAGAAAAUCGUUUCGGAUAGGACCGAGUUGCUGCCUAGGCGGGGGCCUAGGCGCCGCCUAGACCGAUUUUUAGAACCCUGAUAUUUAGUUAAAUUAUAUCUAAAACCAUAUUCGAGUCAUAUGAAACAUAUUUCAUAUACAUCAAAUAAUAUAAUAAAAAUAUCAGAGUCUAGUUUCUAAAAUUUAAUUAAUGUAUAUACAGUAAAACUAACAAUUUUUUUUACAAAAAAUAUAUAAAUUUUUUAAAAAAAAACUUUUUGUAAACUAAUACCCUUAUAAAUUAAUAAAUUACCAUAUUUCCAUCAUUAUUAAUUUAUUGAGUUUUUACUGUAAUAUUACAUGUUUGAUUUUGGAAAAUAGGCACCAUAUGUUAAAAUUAUAACAAUUGUGAAAGCUUAGAAAUGUACCACUCUACUUAAGCAAUUAAAAAGUUGGGUCAAAUCAUACUCAAAAGAAAGACUAAUAAUUGACAUGGAACAGAUUAAUCAUAGCCUUAGAGCGGCUGCAACGGGAGUCCGUCAUGAGUCCGUAGCCCAAGUCCUUAGGAUAUUUGAAUAUUAAUAUUGUGAAAUGGGCUUGUUUUUAGACGGAUCUGUACGGAUCAAUCCGUUAAUAAGGGAUCAAAGGAUUGAGUCCUUCAUGUACACGUGGCGUGCGAUGGUUGGGCUUUGGAUACUUUUGUGUUCCGUUUAGGUGAAAAAAAAAUCAUUCGCGUUUGAACCCGAGGAAAAAAAAUUCAGAGCUCAAGUGAAGAGGCGAUUUCUCUCCGUCGUCGAUCGUCUUCUUCCGUUAUCUUCAAAGGCAAAUACCGUUCUUCUGUGGUAGAUUUAAGCAUAGGUUAGCUUCGUUGUUGUUCUCGUGUCCCUCUUUGCUUCGUAUUUCCGUCGAAUCGAAUUGGGGAUUUCUUCGAUUUAGGGUUUCAAAAAGUUUCGAUUUUGGAAUUUGUUUUGAAUUCGUUUAUGUUCAAUUGGGGAUCAUUUUGUUUGUAGUUUGGGUUUCAAUUCGUUUUGGGUUUCAAAACACGAAUUGUUUUCAGUGAAGAUUUUGUCAUCGAUUUGUUUUCCUUGUAUUGUUUAGCUUCCAUGUAUAGAUAGGUUAGCUUACUUGUAUUGUUUUGAGCUUAUCUUAUUUUUUGCUUAGUUCGAAAACUAGUUAACUAGAUCCCUCAUUAGUCUCUGUUGUUGCGUUUUGUUCUUAAUAUUUUUUUUUCUUAUUCGCUAACAUAGUUUCUCUUACCAUAAUUUCUGCAGGCGAACGAACCAUGGGCCAAGACUAUAGCUACACUCAGCCUUCUUCUUCGUCAGAGGAGUUAGACAUCACCUCUUUAAUUGUAGCAGAAGGUGAACUCUACGCCAAUGAAGUUAAGAGUAACUUCACAAUUUCACAGGAGGAUCAGUACGCAGCUGCACCUGAGGCCGAUGAAGGGAUCCCAAGGACAUGCUAUUGCGGUAGUGAGCCUGUAGUUAAAACGUCGUACACUCCAAAAAAUCCAUACAGGAGGUACUUCUCCUGCAACAACGUCGACGAUGGAGAGUGCCACAUCUGGAAAUGGUGGGAUGUGGCGAUGCAAGAAGAGCUCCGUGAAACGCAAAUACAACUUAGGAUGCUCAAGGAUCAAUUCUUUGAGAGUGACCAGAAGGUGGCUAAGCUAGAGAAGAUCUUACGUGUGCUAAGUAAGAAGACAGCAGUGGUUAAAUAUCGGUUUGCAAAGGGAGUUUGUCUACUGCUCUUGGUAAUAGUGGUCAUCGUAAUGUGGAGGAAGAGCCUCGGAGGAUUUAAACAUCAGUGUCUGAACUCGAGUUGGGCUUCAAAGGUACUAUAAUUAUUAUAGUUUAGAUAUAUUCAGUAAAUUAAAAAUAACCUCUUUCUUCAUGCUUUAAUGAUACUUCCUAACUCCUUGGAUUUGAUAGAAUCGUACUUGUUAGCUUUAAGUGUAGCUACUAUAGAACUUAUUAUGCUGAUAAGAGUGGUGGUAAAUGCUUGUUUGCUUUGUAGUGGUGGUAAAUGCUAGUUUGCUUUCUAUCUGCCAAACUACUACGAAACUAAAUGCUAAAUCACUUUCUAUCGCUUACUUAAGGGUCUGUGUUGCUAAUAGAGUAACACAGACCAUCAUCUAAAAUGAAUACCAGUACUGGGUACGUUAAUCUGUUGAAUAGUCAGAGUUCAGUUGACCUUGAGUCACCCGAACCAGCUUGGUUCGGUAGCCAAGGUCGUGACGAGUAUGUUUUCAACCCUGCUGUCGAGUCUUCUGUCCAGCCUGGUAUCGAGUCUCCUGUCCAGCCUUCUGUCUCAGAGAGGAGAAAAUGGACUGUCAAUGAGGAUAAAAUCCUCAUUGGUGUGUGGCUUAACACCAGCAAAGACCCUGUAGUGAGCUGUGAACAGAAAGCAGAACGUUUCUGGAAGAGAAUCGUUGACUACUACAACGCAAGCCCACAACUGGUUGGGAAAGUACCUAGAGAGGUUCGUCCAGCGAAGCAGAGGUGGUCUAGGAUUAACGACCAAGUCUGUAAAUUCGUUGGAUGCUAUGACGCGGCGUUGAGGGGGGGCAGAGAAGUGGUCAGAAUGAAGACGAUGUAAUGAAAGCUGCCCUCGACUCAUUCUACACCAUUUACGGGCACAAGUUCAGCCUCGAACAUGCGUGGAGGGAGCUGAGGCAUGACCAGAAAUGGCAAGCGACCUAUACGGUUAAAGACAGAGAGAAGGAGAAGCGCAAACAAGUCCACGAUGUUGAUACAGAAGAUGAAGUGGCCGAACCUGAAAUUAGACCAGUUGGUGUGAAAGCUGCUAAAGCUGCUGGUAAGAUGAAGAAGAGUGGCAAGGAAGAAGAGAUGUCACAGCUCCAGUCGAUCUUGCAAAUGAAAGAAAAACUCUCAAAACAAAAAAUCCUAGAACGUUUAUUUGGAAAAAAAGAUCCAGUCUCUGAGGUGGAAGAAUCACUCAAACUGAAACUGAUGAAUGAGAUGUUAUGAAGGUAUUAAUGUGCGUAUGUAGUUGCAUUGUAUAGUUACAUGUCGUCUCUACUUGGAUUGAGCAGUUAGUUUGAGCAGUUACUUUGACUAGUUACUUUGAGUAGUUACUUUGAGUAGUUACUUUGAGUAGUUACUAACACUUGUCUUUUCUCAUGUUUCAGGUACAGCAGCAGGACAUGUGAACCAAGUCACGGGUGCGUUUGGAAUCUCGAAGUGUGUUGUUGUUUUGCGAGUCACGGGUUUAUGUUUUGUUUAAGUAGUAGUAGUAUAAGUAACCCUCUCUGUUUUCCCCUUUGGUUACUCUCUAUCAAACUUCUUUCCUAUCUAUCAAAGGUGUAAUCUUCUUGCUGUAAUCUUGUUGCUACAAACUCGGCCUCAACUUCAAGUUGUUGUAAUCGAAGAAGUUUUAGGUAACUUCUCUUUAUGUUCUCUUUCAUCAUCAGUCUUUGUUUAAUGUUUUAGCUAACUUCUCAUCAGCUUCUCUGUCAGUUAAUAGACCCAGAAAUAUGUGAAGUUUAUCAUAACAACUAUAACUUAUAAUUACUCUAUUACAGAAUGAAUUAUGUUGCUCUGCCACUUACAUAAAUAUUUUAGACAUGUUUUAUUAUAUUUUCUGGUCAAAUAAAUAUAAAUACAGAUAGAUUUUGAUAUAAAUACGCAAAUAAAUAUAAAUACAGAUAUAUUUUAACUAAUUUGGAGUAAGAUUGAUAAAAGGGAAAUGUGAAUCUCUUACAUAAUUUUAACUAAUAGAUUAAAAACUUGUACAAUAUAAUUAUUUAUGAAACAGGAUAUCUAGAAAUGUCAUCAUCUUCAUCGGAUGAAUUCGAAGAGAGAUUGGACGAAGUUUUCGAUGAAAUCUUUGAAGAUACUUUCAACAAUAUAGUGGAGGCCCAAUCCAUACCGCAAAGUAGACGUGCUUAUGUGGAACGAAACCGCGAAGGAGGACACGUCCGCUUAUGGAAUGACUACUUCAGCGCAGAUUGUAUAUUUCCGGCACAUUUAUUCAGACGUCGUUUCCGCAUGAAUAAGGAAUUAUUCUUGCGUAUUGUCCAUGGCCUAUCAGAGUGGGUUCCAUUCUUUCAGCAAAGAAGAGAUGCAACCGGGAGGUUCGGUCUAUCUCCAUUACAAAUAUGUACGGCAGCUAUUCGUAUGCUUGCUUAUGGUUCUGCGGCUGAUGCGGUUGAUGAAUAUCUCCGACUUGGUGAGUCCACUGCACUUUCAUGUUUACAUAAUUUCACUGACGGAAUAAUACAAUUAUUUGGAGAAGAGUAUCUACGACGACCCACACCCGAGGAUCUACAACGACUACUCGAUAUUGGGGAGAAACGAGGGUUUCCUGGGAUGGUCGGGAGCAUUGACUGUAUGCAUUGGGAGUGGAAAAAUUUCCCAACCGCUUGGAAAUGACAGUACACACGUGGAUCAGGAAAACCGACAAUUGUCUUAGAGGCUGUUGCUUCACAAGAUCUUUGGAUAUGGCAAGCUUUUUUUGGUCCUCCAGGUACCUUAAAUGAUAUCAAUGUCCUCGAUCGGUCUUCUGUUUUUGAUGACAUUUUAGAAGGUCGAGCUCCGAGGGUAAAGUACAUGGUCAACGGACACAUGUAUAAGUUGGCGUACUACCUCACAGACGGUAUAUAUCCAAAAUGGUCAACAUUUAUCCAAUCUAUCACCCUCCCUCAAACUCCUCAACAAGAGUUAUUUGCUAAAGUUCAAGAAGUAACCCGAAAAGAUGUGGAGCGGGCUUUUGGAGUAUUGCAAGCUCGAUUUGCGAUUGUGAGAAACCCGGUAAAAACAUUGGAUAGAGAAAAGAUAGGGAAGAUUAUGAGAGCAUGUAUCAUACUCCACAAUAUGAUUGUCGAAGAUGAACGGGAUGGAUACUCUCCUAUUGAUGAAGAUUAGGAAUUAUUCUAUAUUUAUGUUAAAUAAUUGUUAUUAUCUUUAAUUGUUGUAUUUUUAUGUUUAAUUAAUGUAUUUUAUGUUUAAUUAUUGUAUUUUAUGUUAAGUUAUAGUAUUUAUUCAUCUAAUAUAUAAAAAAUUUAUUUCACUAAAAAAACAAUUUUUUAAUUCCUAAGGAUUCUAAUUUUGGGAUCACCAUUGUACACACAUUUUUCACAAGAAUCCUUAACUAUUCAAAAAAAAUAAUAAUAAUAAUAAUUACUAAUCUAAUCUUAAGAACUCCACAAUUGGUAUCACCAUUGUGGAUGCUCUUAUUUCCAUGUUCACGGUUGCAGUUGCAGUUGCGCUGAGCUUGGAACAUAAGGGCACACAAAUGGGUACUAGAAUACCGGGAGCACAAAUCCAAAUUUGUUGUUUUUUCUAUGAUUCAGACCUCUCCCAUAUUCACAGACUUGAAAUAUUCAUCGUGUCCAAUUAUGUUAGCUCUUUGGUUGUAACGGAUCUCAGUCCGUGUCCACCAUUGUCUAGAUCGACAAGCACAGCAACUUUCCUCGUCAAUGAAGAAACUCCCAGCUAGACCAUCAACAUUAAAAAUAGAGAUGAACCUCAAUAACUUGCUCCAUGAAACAGCGUCUUGAUUAAUCUUAUUUGUGAUCCAAAUCUCCAAUGCCGGACCGUUCACCCAGCUUUCCUGUAAGACCGCAAGCUGCUCCUCUCUAACAAAAGAUAACGACACAAAUAUAUCUACACUAUGAGCGUUAAAUGGUGGAGGCAGCCGCUUACUAAAUCUCUUUGUUGUAAAAUCAAAAGAGAUUAUAUCCUCAAUAUUAUUUCUUCUACCCACUCUCAUCCUCUUUUUAGCUAAAAGAUGAGUAUUCCUUUCAGAGACACGCCACUUUGAUAAAAAUCUAUAUUUAUUUCAGUAAAAAUAAUGCGUGAUUAUGAAAAAUAUCACUGAUAGAUUUGUUUACAUGUAAAGGGUAUAUGUUUUCUCUUUUAACUAUCUAAAAUGCUGCAUUUCAUGCUUUGAUUUUAUUAGUCGCCUAAUUUGGGUAUAUAUAUGUUUUUCAGUUCCAUUUUCCAGGACAAGUGUAGUUUACUAUAAUGUAGUCCAGUUUUGUUAUAUCAGGCUAUGUCGAGAUGACUGUUGCAGUAACCGAGUCAGUGUUGAAGAAGAGAAUGAGCGAGCACGGAACAUUCUAAUGCACCCUAUAUUUCAUAUGUUGAAUGAGCUAGGUCCAUAUGUUGGAUCCAAUUGGUGUCAAAAUAUAUGCCUUCUCUAUGAUAACAUUCUGAUGCACCUUGGGUUUCAGGGGUUAGGGAAGCAUGACAUCAUCUAUGUGGACGAUCUGAUCCCACAUUUCGUAGAACAUUUGUGUUAAAAAGUGUGCCUAGACGAGGCCUAGGCUAGAGGUGAAGUUACUUGGACCCGGCGGUGAUUGUGGUAAAAUUGAAGAAGAUUUUGGAGGAGAUGGGGCUGGUGAAUUGUUUGUGGAAGUUGAAGAGUAUAAUUAUGAUGAUGAAUGGAUUUUUAGUUUUAAAGUUUGUUUUCAGCUUAGUUUUAUGAAAACUUUAUUUUAAAACUUGUUUGAAUAGUUUAUUGUUCCGUUGUUUUCUAUUACCUAAAUACUUUUUUGACAUUUGAAAGUACACACUUCAGUUCUUAAACUUGGAAAAUUUAAACAAUUUACACUAGCAGAAGUUCAGUCACAUGAUUCAGAAGUAAUCGUUAAGAGGAGAAAAACAAAAACAAG
Brassica napus (rape) is the source of this 7524-nucleotide long non-coding RNA. RefSeq lists it as uncharacterized. The transcript has 2 exons. The record is from RefSeq and is a predicted model, not a curated record. NCBI's taxonomy places the organism in Eukaryota, Viridiplantae, Streptophyta, Magnoliopsida, Brassicales, Brassicaceae.